Molecule: ribosomal RNA, 345 nt
Filed under: Candidatus Lambdaproteobacteria bacterium RIFOXYC1_FULL_56_13
Lineage: Bacteria; Pseudomonadati; Pseudomonadota; Candidatus Lambdaproteobacteria
Description: bacterial LSU rRNA
Rfam family: Bacterial large subunit ribosomal RNA
Source: RNAcentral
CCAUUUAAAGCGGUACGCGAGCUGGGUUCAGAACGUCGUGAGACAGUUCGGUCCCUAUCUGCCGUGGGCGUUGGAAAUUUGAGAGGACCUGCUCUUAGUACGAGAGGACCGGAGUGGACGAACCUAUGGUGAUCCUGUUGUCACGCCAGUGGCACCGCAGGGUAGCUAAGUUCGGAAUAGAUAACCGCUGAAAGCAUCUAAGCGGGAAGCUAGCCUCAAGACAAAUUUCCCUGGAACUUCGGUUCCCUUAAGGACACAGCAAGACUAGCUGUUUGAUAGGCUGGGAGUGGAAGUGGGGUAACCCAUGUAGCUGACCAGUACUAAUCGUCCGUGAGGCCUCUUAAA